This 480-nucleotide long non-coding RNA is filed under the name Bos taurus (domestic cattle). Its description in RNAcentral is "long non-coding RNA NONBTAT011640". Lineage: Eukaryota; Metazoa; Chordata; Mammalia; Artiodactyla; Bovidae. The record is from RNAcentral.
GCUGCUCAGCGGCCUGUUACCAGCCAAAGAGAGGGAUUAUUUUGCUGUUCUUGGAUGUUUCUUUUGUCACAGUGUCUCACUACAAGAUGUUUCCUUUAAGAUUUUGUAGCACUGACAUUUCCACCCACACCCCUCCCCUGCCCCUUUAGGGAGAGAUGAACCGAUACUGUGACAGAAUUUCUCAUCAACUGAUAAACACUUUACAGCUUCCUUCUACCUAGGUCAUUGAGAAAUUCUCUCCAAACUCUGAACAGCAGAUUUCUGGCUUCAUCUGUUGCUUCCUAAUCUUUUUUUUCCCUUUUGAAAGCUUUGUUUGCAGCCACCCUGUCACCUCAAUUCUCCUACAUCUCCUCUGCCUUUGGUUCUCGGCUUUAACUACAGCUCUGUUUAAAUAAGGGAUCAACAUCCUGUUUGUCAGCUGAUGCCUGUUAAAAAACGAUUCACUUUCUAAAAUCUUUGAAAAAUGGCGUGCCUGAAAAC